Molecule: long non-coding RNA, 4079 nt
Organism: Saccostrea cuccullata (small rock oyster)
Lineage: Eukaryota; Metazoa; Mollusca; Bivalvia; Ostreida; Ostreidae
Exons: 6
Source: RefSeq, a predicted model, not a curated record
UUUUCCUAUCUUUUUCUAUGAUGAUUUUCCUACUGUGAAGCUUUUCUUGAAUAAAGCUCAAUUUCUCUAUGACUACUGAAGUAAACAUCCUGAUGCAUUCUUGCCAUUUGAAUGUUGAGACCCUGUUCAUUUUUGAAAUAUCCUUUCUGUCAGACCUAUUUCACAGGAUCAGCUGAGAUGUUAUUUCACUGGAUUAUUUAAUGGAUAGGCUUAUUAGGUAUAUAGUUGGAUAUCUCUGGAUCAGCUGAGAUGUUAUUUCACUGGAUUAUUUAAUGGAUAGGCUUAUUGGGCAUAUAGUUGGAUAUCUCUGUCAUCAACAUGGAAGAUAUGGUUUGUUCCUAACCAUGUAUAAUCAAUUCUCUAUGAAGUUCAGACUGUCUGCUGUUCCUUUGGAAAUACACAGUAUAGUCAACCAACAUAGAAACACACAAACUUGAAGGGAAAGAAUACUAUAAUGUGACUCAUCAGAAUGACCAGAAAAGAAAUUUUAAUGACCCUCUUGACUAUGUAUAAAGACUGUAACCUUAUAACUGAUGUAAGAAGAUCUGAUUGUGUGGAAUUAAAAUUUCCUGGUGUUUCUACUACCCAAGAUCUUCUUAUGAGUGCAUGGGACUGCUGUGAACCUUCUCCUGUUUAUAAAAAUAUACCUUGGAGCAUGACAGAUUAUUCAUAAAAGGAUUCUCUAGUGAGGGCUUAUGGAAAUGAUUUAUGUCUACUCUUAGAAUGGUGAAAGACUAUCAGAUUAUGCAAAGAUUAACAGAAUAUCCUCUCUUGGAACACUGAAACAAGAAAACCAAACAGGAUGGAGGAUUUAAGAAGAACAUAAAUAAAUAUGAUUUCCAACCAAUUUAACCAGUACAAUCAUAGAAUGUGGUUUACAGGAUGACAAAGAAAGGAGCCAGAAUUGUAUCUUUCACUGUCAGACACUGACUAUGGAUAAAGUGUAAUCAUUUAUCAAACUGAGAUCUAGUCAUAUAAAGUAUUGAAAAUAUGAUUUUCAGAUAGCAUGAGCUCUUUAAAAACUAAUUCUCACAGACCUCAAAGUAUCUAAAUGUGACUUUUAUUUUUACCAAUUCAUAUUGAAGACUGUUGUUAUGUAUGGGAAUUACACAUUUAAACCUUUUACUUUUCAUUUUAUUUUUACAACCCCCUAGAAAUUACACAGAUAUCUAGAUACUGGAUUUGAUGUAAUUAUUUAACUUUCCUGGAAUUGUAAAUAUAUUUUGUUUAUGUAUGUAUCAUGUUUAAUUUUGAAUUUAAAUUGGGUCUCAAUAAGACCCCCAAUAAAGAUGCAAGUGUCCCAUAAUCUGUGAUUUAAUAAUAUCCUGAAUAUCUUUAUCAUACCAUAUUGUACAUACUUAUUACAUAUAGAAUGGUUGUAGGAAUACACUUUGUUGUUUAGGACACUUUGUCAAGGUCAAAGCAUAAGAUUAUUGAGAUGACUUCUUUGACAAUAAUUUGUAACUUACAAACUUCACAUCAUAAGUAGACAGAUAAAGAAUCAAUAAGAUAUUUCUAUAGAUUUUUUGGAUCAUUUACUCCUGGGUAAAAAUUAGUUACUGAGAUUACUGAUUUGAGUCCUGUAAUGCAAUAACUUACACAUUGUAUAAUAACUUAUAGACUUUAUAACAAUUAGGUGCAAAUUCUUAGGAAAGGAUUGAAAUGUUAAUCAAAUGAACAAUGUUCAAGGGUGUUUAUAUGACUAUUGCUAUGUAACACCUAGGGUCUCUGUAAAAAUCCUAUAUUCACUACAUAGAUAAAGACUGGUAUAAUAUAUAUUUUAAACUAUUAUGAAGGAAAAAAAGUCAAAAACUCUCCCCUUCAUAUCUUUCAUAUUCUGUCAUACACAACAAUAGAUAAAUUGCAGUCAUUUAACAAACUGAGGUCUAAUCAAAUCCUAGAAUUGAUAUUGUGAUUUUCUGAUAGUAUGAGAUCUUCAAAAAAAAAAAAUAAUAAUAAUUCCCAGACUUCAAAGUAUCUAAAUGUGACUUUUAUUUUUACCAAUUCAUGUUGAAGACAGUUGUUAUGUAUGAGAAGUAUACAUUUAAACCUUUUAUUUUUCAUCUUAUUUCUGCAACCCCUAACAAAUUACACAGAUGUUUAAAAGCUAGCUUUGGUGUAAUAAUUACUUUCCUGGAACUGUAAAUACAUUUUGCUUGUGUAUGUGUGUGUGUCCUAUUUUGAAUUUAAUAGGUCUCAAUAGGACCCCCAUAAAGAUGUUAGUGUCCCCUGAACUGUGAUGUAAUAAUAUCUUGAAUAUUUCUAUCAACCAUUAGACUUCAUGCUUACUACACAGAACAGGUUAGAGUAAUACACUUAGUUUUAUAGGACACUUUGUCAGGGUUAAAGCAUGAGAUUAUUGAGUUUACUACCUUUGACAAUAAUUUGUAAUCUGCAAAAUUCACAUCAUAAGUAUAGAAAGAUUCGGAGAUUUUCUAUAGAUCUUUGGAUCAUUUUUUCUCCUGGGUAAAAUGUAGUUGUUGUAACUUUAACAUUUUGUGAAACCUAGAGACUUUAUAUCAGCUCUAUUGGGUGGCAUAGCAUACUCUUUGGAAAGAAUUGAAAUGUAAAUCAUAUGCACUAUGUUCAAGGAUGUUUAAAGACUAUUACUAUGUAAUACCUUAGAAUUCUGUAAAAAUUUUAUUAUCACUGCGAAGAUAAAGACUGGUUGGAAUAAUUUAUGUUUUGAAAUAAGGUUUAGGGAAAAAAGUCAAGAAUGUGGAUAUGACUUUAAUUCAAAUGGUGCAGUACAGCAACUCUGGUGAUUUACAUACCUUCAGUCAUAAAUACAUGUAGAUAUGUAUUGGGAAGACUCCUCUAGAUUUUGAAAUUUUUAAUUCAAAAGUAUAGAAUUUUUUUUAAGUUUGAAAGAUUAAAUGGCAGCAUAUCAUAUGCUUGUGAAUUAAAAAUAAAUCCAAACAUAUACAUCUUUGGAUGAUAAUUGUAGAAUUUUAUCAAUUCCUGGACUUCUGUCUUGAUAUCAUCCUUUAAUGCCCUUAAAAUUUUAAUGACUGUCUUUUAGUUUUAGUUGAAUUAGUUUGUUUUCUACAUGUGAAAAUGACAUCAUCCAAAGAAGUAGUUCAUCUGCAUGUUAUAUGAAGAAGACAAUUUUUCAUCACAGUGAAAGAGAUUGUUUUGUUAAAUAUAAUGCAUUGAUGCACAAAUAUACUUUUAGAUUUUUAAUAGCUAGGGUUCAUAUUUCUUAAUAUGGAAUGCUAUGUACUGUUGAUUUCAUUUUUUUUUCUGAAAAAAGACAUACUAGUAGAAAAAAAAUAUACAUGGUGUGUUAGAAAAGCAUGUGUAAACCUGAUGACUUUAUAAUUGCUGAUUAAAUCAAUUAUGAGUUUCAUCUUUGUUACAUUGUAAACAUUUCUAAGUAGGGCACACAUCAGAAACUCUUUAAAUUCUGAGUAUCAGGGUUUAACACAACAAUUCCAAAUGAUUUUGGGACGCUUUUUAUGUAUCAAAAAAAGACAAAACAGAAUGUUUGUUCACAGAUGUUCCAGUGGAAAACAAUCACAAAGAAAUGAUUUGAUAUGUUCUUUAUGUGAUUCAUGUAAAAUGUUUUUUUUUUUUUUUUUAAAUUGUACCCUAACAUUUAUCUUUUGCAUAAAUACAUGUUUUGUUGAGAAUAUCUCAUAACUUUGAAAAAAGUAGUCUUAUUGUAUAAUAUGGUAAACUUAAAAUUUUGUAGACUUAAAAGUUGUACAUUAUGUGUUACACAUCUUACAUGUAACCAUUUCAUUUCAGGGCAUUCAGCAUAUAUUGUGGUUUUGUCUUAAAUUUGUUUGUUCAUGUAAUCAAUAAUUUGAGAAUACUCAAGUUAGGUAAUGCAUGAGAGAAUAGGCAAGAAAAUCAGGUUUAAGAAAUGGUUUUUACUAUUUAUAAGGGUUUAAUCUGUAUAUUGAAUCUAUAAGUACAUUUAGUCUAUACAAUUAAGGUAUUUGUAUAUGAAAUAAACUUGCAUUUGAGCAUUUUAAGACAAUUGUAAACAUUACUUUAACUAGUUUUAAAAAAUGAUUAGAUUCACUGUCAGCAUGUUAUUUCUUGUAAAAUAAAUGAGAAAACAAACAAUUUAA